ACCCAACAGCUAGCCCCCCCACUCAUUUCAACACUCAAUUAUUUAUAACCCCAAAAACACUUAACCCCCCCCCCAAUUAAACCAUUCUACCCCUUUAGUACAGGAGAUGGAAAAAGAACUAGGCGCAAUAGAAAAAGUACCGCAAGGGAACGCUGAAAAAGAAAUGAAAUAAUUCAGUAAAGUACAACAAAGCAGAGCUAUUUCCUCGUACCUUUUGCAUCAUGUUUUAGCUAGAGUUUAUCAAGCAAAAAGCAUUUUAGUUUGAUUACCCGAAACCAGACGAGCUACUUCAAGACAGCCUAACAAAUAGGGCUAACCCGUCUCUGUGGCAAAAGAGUGGGGAGAGCUUCAAGUAGAGGUGAUAAACCUACCGAGCCUGGUUAUAGCUGGUUACCUGAAAAUUGAAUAGAAGUUCAGCCUCUCGAAUUCUUAAAUCCCCCUGACUCAUCCUCCAUCAAGAUUAAAAGAAGUCUAGAGAGUUAUUCAAAAGGGGUACAGCCCUUUGAAACAAGAUACAACUUUACUUAGGCGGAU
Molecule: ribosomal RNA, 534 nt
Filed under: Rheocles wrightae
Lineage: Eukaryota; Metazoa; Chordata; Actinopteri; Atheriniformes; Bedotiidae
Description: partial 16S ribosomal RNA
Rfam family: Bacterial large subunit ribosomal RNA (bases 190-534)
Source: RNAcentral